AUACGGAGGGUGCAAGCGUUACUCGGAAUCACUGGGCGUAAAGCGCGCGCAGGCGGUCUUUUAAGUUAGAUGUGAAAGCCUACGGCUCAACCGUAGAACUGCAUCCAAAACUAUUAGACUAGAGUGUGGGAGAGGAAGAUGGAAUUAGUUGUGUAGGGGUAAAAUCCGUAGAGAUAACUAGGAAUACCAAAAGCGAAGGCAAUCUUCUGGAACACUACUGACGCUGAGGCGCGAAAGCGUGGGGAGCAAACAGGAUUAGAUACCCUAGUAGUCC
RNAcentral lists this ribosomal RNA (274 nucleotides) under uncultured bacterium. RNAcentral's name for it is "partial 16S ribosomal RNA". It matches the Rfam family "Bacterial small subunit ribosomal RNA", at positions 523 to 796 of the family's 1533-position model. The record is from RNAcentral.